CUCUAAUGAUGACUCCACUUUUGUGCCACGUGUCUGGGCCACUGAAAUCUCAUGAUGGUAUUGAGGAACUGAAAGAG
Small nucleolar RNA from Nematolebias whitei (Rio pearlfish), 77 nucleotides. RefSeq annotates it as small nucleolar RNA SNORD66. NCBI's taxonomy places the organism in Eukaryota, Metazoa, Chordata, Actinopteri, Cyprinodontiformes, Rivulidae. The record is from RefSeq and is a predicted model, not a curated record. The transcript has a single exon.